RNAcentral lists this ribosomal RNA (1176 nucleotides) under Triticum aestivum (bread wheat). Its description in RNAcentral is "partial small subunit ribosomal RNA". Lineage: Eukaryota; Viridiplantae; Streptophyta; Magnoliopsida; Poales; Poaceae. The record is from RNAcentral.
AGGCUCUUGAGUGAGCCAGAUUCGUUAUGUGCCAGAAUAUCAAGAGCAAAAUAUUUUUCAGAGGGCAACCUCCUUACGUGCAGCUUAAAGAAGGGCAGCUCUGACACCUGACAGAGCAUUUGGAGUGGUAUUCAGACCUUCAAAAGAGGUCAUAUAUGGAGAGUAGGAGAUGAGUCUCAAAUAAAUAUAUGGGAGGAUUCUUGGGUACCAAGCAGCCCCACUUGGAAAGUCAUGACACCAAGGGCGAACAUUGUAAUUACCAAGGUGUCGGAACUCAUUGAUGCGGAUAAUAGAGCUUGGGAUGAACAGCUAAUUAAUGAUCUGUUUUGGCCAAUUGAUGCACAAAUCCUCAACAUUCCUUUGGCUCUAGGGAUGAUGGAUGAUUUUGUUUUUUGGCAUUUUAACAUAAGCGGAAAUUUUACGGUGAGGUCAGCGUAUCAUGAAGAAUGGGAACACCAACACGGACGAAAGUUGAGGAUGACAAAUUCGAUACAAGCCUCAAGUACUAGUCUAGUUUGGAGGACCAUUUGGAAACUACAUGUGUCUUCAAAAGUGAAAAUUCAUGUGUGAAAAACUUUGCUUGGAGCUCUUCCAUGUCAAGGAGUCUUAGCGAACAGACAUAUAAUUUCGAGUUCCCAAUGCCCCUUAUGCAGUUCAGAUUGUGAAAGCAUCCGGCAUGCUUUAUUCUUGUGCCCUCGUGUACAGGAGGUGUGGCGUUUACUAGGUAUGGCAGCGGUGGUGAAUGAGGUGUGCAUGGCGGAAAGAGAGGGUGGCUUGGUGAUGGCUGACCUCCUCUUGUCCAAGAAUCCAAUUAAGGCAUUGAUUAAUGAUGUUCAGCGCAAUGACCUUGUUGCCACAGCUGUGUGGUACUUGUGGUGGGAACGACGCAGAUAUACACACGGCGAGCAACUGUACGAGCCUACCAGAUCGGCACAAACAAUAUCGACACUCGCAAAAAAUUACUCAAGAGCAAAAUUCAAGCACAACAGAAUUAGGAGACAUGGCUGGGAGAAACCACCAGAGGGCACAAUCAAGCUGAAUGUGGACGCAGGUUUCAACAUUGACAGUGGCACUGGCGCUACAGGUGCUAUACUUCGAGACCACUCCGGUUUCUUUGUGGCGGCAUCUUGCAGCAAUAUCCCUUUUGUUGAAGAAGCGGCUACGGCGGAAGCAUGA